This 425-nucleotide ribosomal RNA is filed under the name uncultured bacterium. Its description in RNAcentral is "bacterial SSU rRNA". It matches the Rfam family "Bacterial small subunit ribosomal RNA", at positions 354 to 796 of the family's 1533-position model. The record is from RNAcentral.
GUCGGGAAUUUUGCACAAUGGGCGAAAGCCUGAUGCAGCAACGCCGCGUGAGGGAUGAAGGCCUUCGGGUUGUAAACCUCUUUUAUCAGGGACGAUGAUGACGGUACCUGAUGAAUAAGCCACGGCUAACUACGUGCCAGCAGCCGCGGUAAUACGUAGGUGGCAAGCGUUGUCCGGAUUUACUGGGCGUAAAGAGCGCGCAGGCGGUGCGAUCAGUCGAAUGUGAAAGCCCCCGGCUCAACUGGGGAGGGUCAUUCGAUACUGUCGGACUCGAAGGCAGGAGAGGGAAGCGGAAUUCCCGGUGUAGUGGUGAAAUGCGUAGAUAUCGGGAGGAACACCAGUGGCGAAGGCGGCUUCCUGGCCUGUUCUUGACGCUGAGGCGCGAAAGCUAGGGGAGCAAACGGGAUUAGAAACCCUUGUAGUCC